UGGGGAAUAUUGGGCAAUGGGCGAAAGCCUGACCCAGUGAGAACACAUGCAUGAUGAAGGCGCGCAGUUUUCUGUAAAGUGCUUUCGGCGACGAGAAAGAUGCCUGUAGUCGUAGUAAGAAGCACCGGCCAACUUCGUGCCAGCAGCCGCGGUAAUACGAAGGGUGCGGGCGUUAUUCGUUUUGAUUGGGUGUAAAGGGUACGUAGGCAAUCGUCGUGGACGACAUCAAAAUAGCAGAGUAUUCCUAUGCUCUGGUGUCACGCCGUAAACGAAUUGUGUUAAAGAGAGGUUGGGUCAAAUUUCUGCGUAGAGGUAGAAUGCCAAGAGACGGGAAUGAAUGGUCGUUGGCGAAGGCUCCCUUCUAUCUUUAACAGACGCUGAGGUACGGAAGCUUAGGUAGCAAACAGGAUUAGAUACCCCCGUAGUCC
RNAcentral lists this ribosomal RNA (428 nucleotides) under uncultured bacterium. RNAcentral's name for it is "bacterial SSU rRNA". It matches the Rfam family "Bacterial small subunit ribosomal RNA", at positions 355 to 796 of the family's 1533-position model. The record is from RNAcentral.